This 253-nucleotide long non-coding RNA is filed under the name Elaeis guineensis (African oil palm). Its description in RNAcentral is "long non-coding RNA (EGUI_LNC010171)". The record is from RNAcentral. Lineage: Eukaryota; Viridiplantae; Streptophyta; Magnoliopsida; Arecales; Arecaceae.
CUUUUUUUUUGUCGAAAGCCUCAAGGAUACAAUUAAAAUCACCGACAAUAACUAUAGGAACCUGUAAUGAUAAAAUAUCACGGACCUGCGACCAUAUAAAACGUCGUUGGAACACAGACAUACUAGCAUACACCACACCCAAAAUCCAUGAAUGAGUAUGGUUUGCUGAAAUUACACCAAAAACAAGUUUCCUGUCAAUAUGAUAAAAGCAAACAGAACCAAGAGCCUCUUUCUAAACUAUAAUGAUACCACC